UGGCUUCAUCAGAAGGAAGCUGGUCUCACACCCCUGGCCAUACGACAGACCAGCAACAGUGGAGGCACUGGGCACGGUGUCAAUACACAGAGGUCCAACGGGGCAGGAGGAGACCAUGUAACCCUAAUUCCCUGAAGGAAAGAACUGCCUGGCUCCAGCAGGUGAUGGCUCAAGAACUUGGGAGACCCAGACUGAGUUCCAGGACCCUGGUUUCAGCUUAGCCCAAGAAAAUCAGAUGCAAAUCAACCAAGUUCUUCUGCUACCACAAAAAGAAACGUAUUUAUCAUACAAGAGGAUGCAGUAGAUUGCUAAAUGCACAAAGACUUUGAAAUGUAAGAUGCUUGUGGGAAAAAAAAUGCCAGCUGCUUUUUCCUCUUCCUCAAGGACUAAGCUUCCUCUCGGUUGCCGCCAUCUCCCACUCGCUGCUGGGAAAACAGGGCCCAGCCAAAGCAACACGUCUGGGAUAAU
Molecule: non-coding RNA, 468 nt
Organism: Oryctolagus cuniculus (rabbit)
Lineage: Eukaryota; Metazoa; Chordata; Mammalia; Lagomorpha; Leporidae
Source: RefSeq, a predicted model, not a curated record